GCGGCGUGCCUAAUACAUGCAAGUAGAACGCUGAAGUCUGGUGCUUGCACUAGACGGAUGAGUUGCGAACGGGUGAGUAACGCGUAGGUAACCUGCCUCAUAGCGGGGGAUAACUAUUGGAAACGAUAGCUAAUACCGCAUAACAGUAUUUACUGCAUGGUAGAUACUUGAAAGGAGCAAUUGCUUCACUAUGAGAUGGACCUGCGUUGUAUUAGCUAGUUGGUGAGGUAACGGCUCACCAAGGCAUCGAUACAUAGCCGACCUGAGAGGGUGAUCGGCCACACUGGGACUGAGACACGGCCCAGACUCCUACGGGAGGCAGCAGUAGGGAAUCUUCGGCAAUGGGGGCAACCCUGACCGAGCAACGCCGCGUGAGUGAAGAAGGUUUUCGGAUCGUAAAGCUCUGUUGUAAGAGAAGAACUGUGAGAAGAGUGGAAAGUUUCUCACUUGACGGUAUCUUACCAGAAAGGGACGGCUAACUACGUGCCAGCAGCCGCGGUAAUACGUAGGUCCCGAGCGUUGUCCGGAUUUAUUGGGCGUAAAGCGAGCGCAGGCGGUUUGAUAAGUCUGAAGUAAAAGGCUGUGGCUUAACCAUAGUACGCUUUGGAAACUGUCAAACUUGAGUGCAGAAGGGGAGAGUGGAAUUCCAUGUGUAGCGGUGAAAUGCGUAGAUAUAUGGAGGAACACCGGUGGCGAAAGCGGCUCUCUGGUCUGUAACUGACGCUGAGGCUCGAAAGCGUGGGGAGCGAACAGGAUUAGAUACCCUGGUAGUCCACGCCGUAAACGAUGAGUGCUAGGUGUUGGGUCCUUUCCGGGACUCAGUGCCGCAGCUAACGCAUUAAGCACUCCGCCUGGGGAGUACGACCGCAAGGUUGAAACUCAAAGGAAUUGACGGGGGCCCGCACAAGCGGUGGAGCAUGUGGUUUAA
Molecule: ribosomal RNA, 928 nt
Filed under: Streptococcus suis
Lineage: Bacteria; Bacillati; Bacillota; Bacilli; Lactobacillales; Streptococcaceae
Description: bacterial SSU rRNA
Rfam family: Bacterial small subunit ribosomal RNA
Source: RNAcentral